UUAGUGCAAUGGCAUAAGCCAGCUGACUGCGAGCGUGACGGCGCGAGCAGGUGCGAAAGCAGGUCAUAGUGAUCCGGUGGUUCUGAAUGGAAGGGCCAUCGCUCAACGGAUAAAAGGUACUCCGGGGACAGGCUGAUACGCCCAAGAGUUCAUAUCGACGGCGGUGUUUGGCACCUCGAUGUCGGCUCAUCACAUCCUGGGGCUGAAGUAGGUCCCAAGGGUAUGGCUGUUCGCCAUUUAAAGUGGUACGCGAGCUGGGUUUAGAACGUCGUGAGACAGUUCGGUCCCUAUCUGCCGUGGGCGCUGGAGAACUGAGGGGGGCUGGCUCCUAGUACGAGAGGACCGGAGUGGACGCAUCACUGGUGUUCGGGUUGUCAUGCCAAUGGCACUGCCCGGUAGCUAAAUGCGGAAGAGAUAAGUGCUGAAAGCAUCUAAGCACGAAACUUGCCCCGAGAUGAGUUCUCCCUGAGACUUAGAGUCUCCUGAAGGAACGUUGAAGACGACGACGUUGAUAGGCCGGGUGUGUAAGCGCAGCGAUGCGUUGAGCUAACCGGUACUAAUGAACCGUGAGGCUUAACCUUACAACGCCGAAG
RNAcentral lists this ribosomal RNA (593 nucleotides) under Salmonella enterica subsp. enterica serovar Hillingdon. RNAcentral describes it as "bacterial LSU rRNA". It matches the Rfam family "Bacterial large subunit ribosomal RNA", at positions 2346 to 2925 of the family's 2925-position model. Lineage: Bacteria; Pseudomonadati; Pseudomonadota; Gammaproteobacteria; Enterobacterales; Enterobacteriaceae. The record is from RNAcentral.